RNAcentral lists this small RNA (227 nucleotides) under Arabidopsis thaliana (thale cress). RNAcentral's name for it is "ATSL164280". Lineage: Eukaryota; Viridiplantae; Streptophyta; Magnoliopsida; Brassicales; Brassicaceae. The record is from RNAcentral.
GAAAAAAGAGGGAUUUAACACGAGGACUUUCCGAGAGGUAACCCAUCCUAGUACUACUCUCGUCCAAGCACCCUUAACUGCGGAGUUCUGAUGGGAUCCGGUGCAUUAGUGCUGGUAUGAUCGCAUGUGUUACUACAUGCAAUGUAAUCAUAUCUAUUCUUUUUUUAAAGACUUUAUGAUUCAUUUGCCGUGGGUCCCACCAGCUAUGUAGGAAUACCCUAUUUUCU